CGCGGUAAUACGGAGGAUGCGAGCGUUAUCCGGAUUUAUUGGGUUUAAAGGGUGCGUAGGCGGAUUGAUAAGUCAGUGGUGAAAUCCUGCAGCUUAACUGUAGCAUUGCCGUUGAUACUGUCAGUCUUGAGUAUGGUUAAGGUAGGCGGAAUGUGUAAUGUAGCGGUGAAAUGCUUAGAUAUUACACAGAACACCGAUUGCGAAGGCAGCUUACUGAACCAUAACUGACGCUGAGGCACGAAAGCGUGGGGAGCGAACAGGAUUAGAUACCCUGGUAGUCCACGCCGUAAACGAUGAUCACUCGCUGUUAGCGAUACACAGUUAGCGGCUAAGCAAAAGCAUUAAGUGAUCCACCUGGGGAGUACGGCCGCAAGGCUGAAACUCAAAGGAAUUGACGGGGGCCCGCACAAGCGGAGGAACAUGUGGUUUAAUUCGAUGAUACGCGAGGAACCUUACCUGGGCUUAAAUGUUGAGUGCAUGAGGUAGAAAUACUUCUUCCCUUCGGGGCUCUCAGCAAGGUGCUGCAUGGUUGUCGUCAGCUCGUGCCGUGAGGUGUCGGGUUAAGUCCCAUAACGAGCGCAACCCUUAUCGUUAGUUGCCAGCGGGUAAUGCCGGGAACUCUAGCGAAACUGCCGGUGUAAACCGAGAGGAAGGUGGGGAUGACGUCAAAUCAGCACGGCCCUUAUGUCCAGGGCCACACACGUGUUACAAUGGCCGGUACAGAGGGCAGCUACCUGGAGACAGGAUGCGAAUCUCCAAAGCCGGUCUCAGUUCGGAUCGGAGUCUGCAACUCGACUCCGUGAAGCUGGAUUCGCUAGUAAUCGCGCAUCAGCCAUGGCGCGGUGAAUACGUUCCCGGGCCUUGUACACACCGCCCGUCAAGCCAUGGAAGUUGGGGGUACCUGAAGUC
Molecule: ribosomal RNA, 909 nt
Filed under: uncultured bacterium
Lineage: Bacteria
Description: bacterial SSU rRNA
Rfam family: Bacterial small subunit ribosomal RNA
Source: RNAcentral